Molecule: ribosomal RNA, 461 nt
Filed under: Alteromonas tagae
Lineage: Bacteria; Pseudomonadati; Pseudomonadota; Gammaproteobacteria; Alteromonadales; Alteromonadaceae
Description: bacterial SSU rRNA
Rfam family: Bacterial small subunit ribosomal RNA
Source: RNAcentral
UGUCGAGUGGCGGACGGGUGAGUAAUGCUUGGGAACUUGCCUUUGCGAGGGGGAUAACAGUUGGAAACGACUGCUAAUACCGCAUAAUGUCUUCGGACCAAACGGGGCUUAGGCUCCGGCGCAAAGAGAGGCCCAAGUGAGAUUAGCUAGUUGGUGAGGUAAAGGCUCACCAAGGCAACGAUCUCUAGCUGUUCUGAGAGGAAGAUCAGCCACACUGGGACUGAGACACGGCCCAGACUCCUACGGGAGGCAGCAGUGGGGAAUAUUGCACAAUGGGGGAAACCCUGAUGCAGCCAUGCCGCGUGUGUGAAGAAGGCCUUCGGGUUGUAAAGCACUUUCAGUUGUGAGGAAAAGUUAGUAGUUAAUACCUGCUAGCCGUGACGUUAACAACAGAAGAAGCACCGGCUAACUCCGUGCCAGCAGCCGCGGUAAUACGGAGGGUGCGAGCGUUAAUCGGAAUU